GACACUGAAAAUCAGUAGAAGAAAUACGCCACAUUUAUUCUACCGGGGAAGACAGUGGGAAACCUGAAACUGCCAUUGAGCAGAAGGAAAACAUCCCUUUCCAGAACCUUUCUCGUUUUUCUAAAAAUCUGCACUUUUGGAAGUGAUCCCCCAAAGAGACCUCCAGACUCUACCAUGAGUGUCUCCAGCUGAACUCAUCGUGUCUAAUCCUCACCCUAGCUUAUCCUGUUCAAAUCAUUUCCAUCUUUUUCUGGAUGAACCUGGGCGGAUGUCAGACCAGAGAAGAGCACAGAAUGUACCAGAGAGAGUCUUGCUCUGUCACCCAGGCUGAAGUGCACCCAGGCUGAAGUUGGAGGCUAUGGUGAGCUGCACCACUACACCACUAUGGGAGGCCGAGGCGAGUGGAUUGCCUGAGCUCAGGAGUUCGAGACCAGCCUGGGCAACGUUGUGAAACCCCGUCUCUACUAAAACACAAAAAAUUAGCCAGGCCUGGCGGCAUGUGCCUAUAGUCCCAGCUACUCAGGAGGCUGAGGCAGGAGAAUUGCUUGAACCCGGGAGCUGGAGGUUGCAGUGAGCCGAGAUUGCGCCACUGCACUCCAGCCUCGGUGACAGAGUGAGACUCCGUCUCAAAAAAAAACAAUAUAAGGUGAAGGCCAAGCAGGGUGGCACAUACCUGUUGUCUCACCUACUCAAAAGGCUGAGGCCAGAGGAGGAUUGCUGGAAGUGAGUUCAAAGCCAGCCUAGAGAAUA
RNAcentral lists this long non-coding RNA (750 nucleotides) under Homo sapiens (human). RNAcentral's name for it is "non-protein coding lnc-ZNF131-2:7". Lineage: Eukaryota; Metazoa; Chordata; Mammalia; Primates; Hominidae. The record is from RNAcentral.